Molecule: ribosomal RNA, 476 nt
Filed under: uncultured bacterium
Lineage: Bacteria
Description: partial 16S ribosomal RNA
Rfam family: Bacterial small subunit ribosomal RNA
Source: RNAcentral
GAUGAACGCUGGCGGCGUGCUUAACACAUGCAAGUCGAGCGAGUGAGUUCUUCGGAACGAUCUAGCGGCGGACGGGUGAGUAACACGUGGGCAACCUGCCUCAUAGAGGGGAAUAGCCUCCCGAAAGGGAGAUUAAUACCGCAUAACAUCGUUGAAGGGCAUCCUUCGAUGAACAAAGGAGCAAUCCGCUAUGAGAUGGGCCCGCGGCGCAUUAGCUAGUUGGUGAGGUAACGGCUCACCAAGGCGACGAUGCGUAGCCGACCUGAGAGGGUGAUCGGCCACAUUGGGACUGAGACACGGCCCAGACUCCUACGGGAGGCAGCAGUGGGGAAUAUUGCACAAUGGGGGAAACCCUGAUGCAGCAACGCCGCGUGAGUGAUGACGGCCUUCGGGUUGUAAAGCUCUGUCUUUGGGGACGAUAAUGACGGUACCCAAGGAGGAAGUCACGGCUAACUACGUGCCAGCAGCCGCGGUAA